Molecule: long non-coding RNA, 466 nt
Organism: Apus apus (common swift)
Lineage: Eukaryota; Metazoa; Chordata; Aves; Apodiformes; Apodidae
Exons: 2
Source: RefSeq, a predicted model, not a curated record
GACAACUUGCAAAGCAUCCUGUGCAAGUUUGCAGCAAGACGAUCUGCUCAUUCAGCGGCUGCUGAAACUGGCCCCGUGGCCACCCCACUCAGGAACCGUGAGAUUCAGCUGCUCCUCCAGGCUCCAGCCACAGCGCUGGCUCAGCUCAGCCACCCCGGGGCUGAAGCAGCGAUGCUCGGGGAUGAACCCAAAGAAGACAACACCCACGUACACUGGGGUGAAGGCAGCAGAAAGCAAACACAGAACAAAGAAGGUUUGCUUCUGGAACCUGUCAAAUUCUCCAACAUUCUCCAAAAUGUCAUCUAGAGUUGGCAUUUUGGUAUCAAAACCACUCCAAAAACUUCAUGUAGGACUUCACUGCAGCACUGAUAUAUUUAGUUGGCAGCAACGCUAUUUAAGUAACAAAGACAUUUGACCCAAAGUCAAGACUAACUUCAUAAAUUAUUAAACUACAUGUUGCAAGCUU